Molecule: ribosomal RNA, 1522 nt
Filed under: Salmonella enterica subsp. enterica serovar Augustenborg
Lineage: Bacteria; Pseudomonadati; Pseudomonadota; Gammaproteobacteria; Enterobacterales; Enterobacteriaceae
Description: bacterial SSU rRNA
Rfam family: Bacterial small subunit ribosomal RNA
Source: RNAcentral
AGAGUUUGAUCAUGGCUCAGAUUGAACGCUGGCGGCAGGCCUAACACAUGCAAGUCGAACGGUAACAGGAAGCAGCUUGCUGCUUUGCUGACGAGUGGCGGACGGGUGAGUAAUGUCUGGGAAACUGCCUGAUGGAGGGGGAUAACUACUGGAAACGGUGGCUAAUACCGCAUAACGUCGCAAGACCAAAGAGGGGGACCUUCGGGCCUCUUGCCAUCAGAUGUGCCCAGAUGGGAUUAGCUUGUUGGUGAGGUAACGGCUCACCAAGGCGACGAUCCCUAGCUGGUCUGAGAGGAUGACCAGCCACACUGGAACUGAGACACGGUCCAGACUCCUACGGGAGGCAGCAGUGGGGAAUAUUGCACAAUGGGCGCAAGCCUGAUGCAGCCAUGCCGCGUGUAUGAAGAAGGCCUUAGGGUUGUAAAGUACUUUCAGCGGGGAGGAAGGUGUUGUGGUUAAUAACCACAGCAAUUGACGUUACCCGCAGAAGAAGCACCGGCUAACUCCGUGCCAGCAGCCGCGGUAAUACGGAGGGUGCAAGCGUUAAUCGGAAUUACUGGGCGUAAAGCGCACGCAGGCGGUCUGUCAAGUCGGAUGUGAAAUCCCCGGGCUCAACCUGGGAACUGCAUUCGAAACUGGCAGGCUUGAGUCUUGUAGAGGGGGGUAGAAUUCCAGGUGUAGCGGUGAAAUGCGUAGAGAUCUGGAGGAAUACCGGUGGCGAAGGCGGCCCCCUGGACAAAGACUGACGCUCAGGUGCGAAAGCGUGGGGAGCAAACAGGAUUAGAUACCCUGGUAGUCCACGCCGUAAACGAUGUCUACUUGGAGGUUGUGCCCUUGAGGCGUGGCUUCCGGAGCUAACGCGUUAAGUAGACCGCCUGGGGAGUACGGCCGCAAGGUUAAAACUCAAAUGAAUUGACGGGGGCCCGCACAAGCGGUGGAGCAUGUGGUUUAAUUCGAUGCAACGCGAAGAACCUUACCUGGUCUUGACAUCCACAGAAGUUUCCAGAGAUGGAUUGGUGCCUUCGGGAACUGUGAGACAGGUGCUGCAUGGCUGUCGUCAGCUCGUGUUGUGAAAUGUUGGGUUAAGUCCCGCAACGAGCGCAACCCUUAUCCUUUGUUGCCAGCGGUUAGGCCGGGAACUCAAAGGAGACUGCCAGUGAUAAACUGGAGGAAGGUGGGGAUGACGUCAAGUCAUCAUGGCCCUUACGACCAGGGCUACACACGUGCUACAAUGGCGCAUACAAAGAGAAGCGACCUCGCGAGAGCAAGCGGACCUCAUAAAGUGCGUCGUAGUCCGGAUUGGAGUCUGCAACUCGACUCCAUGAAGUCGGAAUCGCUAGUAAUCGUGGAUCAGAAUGCCACGGUGAAUACGUUCCCGGGCCUUGUACACACCGCCCGUCACACCAUGGGAGUGGGUUGCAAAAGAAGUAGGUAGCUUAACCUUCGGGAGGGCGCUUACCACUUUGUGAUUCAUGACUGGGGUGAAGUCGUAACAAGGUAACCGUAGGGGAACCUGCGGUUG